RNAcentral lists this long non-coding RNA (2825 nucleotides) under Solanum tuberosum (potato). RNAcentral describes it as "long non-coding RNA (STUB_LNC008663)". The record is from RNAcentral. Lineage: Eukaryota; Viridiplantae; Streptophyta; Magnoliopsida; Solanales; Solanaceae.
CCCCCUAGAUGAUCCCCCAAAAUACUUCACGUAUAUAAUGGAGUUAGAGUUGCUACAAGAUUAUUACAAACCGCAAUAAAUAAUAAGUACAAAGUAAAAAAAAAAAAACAGAAAUUGAGUAAUCUCGUAUCAUGGCGACUCUUCGAUUUGAACUUCAAGUUCGAAACCUGUUUAAUAGAAUAAAACUCAACACGAGAUCUUAGCAUGAUAAUAACUAUUAGAUAGACACAUAAAAUAAUUUACAGCAAACACACGCAAUUCACCAAGUCAUAUAAAACCACGCUUCGGAGUGAGGGAUAAGGAAACUAACCCGGAUGCUCCUUUUUAUUUAUUUCAACCAUGUAUAAUACGACCAAUGCAGAAAAUAAGAUUAACUAAUAAAAAGGAACUAACCAAUUACGCAGUAAAAGAAAUCAGCAAUGAAGAUCCACACUUAAUCCAAUAAUCGACCCAAACACAGCAAAAUAGCAAGUAUAGAGGAGCUUUUUGUUUACCGGAAAACUUAAUUCUAUUUUAAAGAAUAGAGAGAGCAAUAUGUAUUUUUAGUAUUCAAGUAUUGAGCAAAGUCAAGAUGUAAUCUAAGUAUGAGAGUAUUUAACCGUGAGUGACCCCCUAGAGGUAUCCGGAAGGGUCCUAUUUAUACUGGGUGAGAGGGCACUACCAUAAGGAAAGGAAAUAAACAAUGAGUCAAUUAUAAUAAAUUUUCCUUAUUUUAAAGGAGAGCCAAAAUUAGACUUAUUUUGAUUUAUUUUUUACCAUAUAUAAACAAGUAAGAAAUCUACCAAUUUUAAUUAAGGUAACAUGCUCAAUUUACAGACAGAUGAUAUGUGAAAUCAAGUAAGACAAGUGAUAAUUGAUUCAAAGGGAAUGCAUGAUUACAGCUCAAAAUACGUCAAUCGGGCAAGUAAAAAUAGAGUGGCAUACGGUAAGAAUUAAUUUCAAAUUGUCAAUUAGGUGACAAGUUAAACCAGCAAGCAUUAGUCCAAAUAUAAGACAAAGAAUCCAAUAAAGGUAUCAACUAAAAUCGGAAUUAUGGAGAAAUUCAAGCAAGGAGACCUAUAUGUAUAUAUUUUAUGUAGAAGGAAGGACAGUGAAGGCUUAUCGAUUUUGUUAUAUCAAGAAGGCGUAAAUAUAUUAAUCGUAUCCUAUAAACAGUUUACACCAACAGUCAUUGUCACAAGAGCAAUAUUGAUAAACAAAUAAAGGUAUAAUCACAAUGAUCAUGAAGCUAAUUAAAAUCUCUAUCCAAAUCUGCCAAAAUCAGAUUCAAGAUGGAGGAAAACAAGCAAGAGGAACAUUAUGCAAUUUCUUGCUAUACUAUUAUUAAUAGCAACUCCCAACUCAAUCACAUAUAGCUUGAACAUCAAAACCAUAUUAAACCGUGGCAAAAUUACACUUAAAUCAAGGCCGACUCAACAACAUUGGGGGGCCUAAAGCGAAAUUUAAGAGAGGGGCCCUAAAUUUUUUUUCAUCAUAUGUUCUUUUAUUUAAAAUAUAUUUUUCUAGCUAUUUCAGAUGCAAAGUCAUUAAGUAUUGUUUAUAAUCAAUUUAUUUUAAUAAUUCCUUUUCAAUUGAUAAUAUAGCUAAUUCAUUCAAUCUAUCUUGAGACAUUGUUGAUCUUAAAGAAGAUUUAAUCAAUUUUAAUUUCGAACGAAGAAAAAUUUGGUUGAGGCAAUGGUUAUGAACUGUUAACACAAUAUGUGUAUUUGGAAAAGAAUCAAAUCUUUUAUUUGAUUGAGUAUUUUCAUUACAUCAUUAUCUUCUACUUGUAUUGUUUAUCUUUAACACUUUUACUUCAAAAAAUAAAUCUAAACCAUCAAUUCAGAAUAACUAGUAUGUGUUAAAGAAAGUUCAAGGUUAAGACAAUAUUUUAAAAAAAAAGGUUAAGACAAUAUUUUUAAAAAAAUUUCAUCAUCUAGUAAUCUCAAUAUUUUACCACUAAAUAAGAAAUCAAAAAUAUUUUUAUAUGCUUCAAUUGGUUCAAAUCUAUUUUAAAGUGAAAAAAUAGUUUGAUCUACUCUACAUAUAUAACGUAAUCAACUCUAAAGAUUCUUCGAGGGACUUAGUGAUUUCGUUAUCCAUAUUUUCAUCAAAUUGUUUCUUACGAAAAUUAUAUUUGUAUUCAUGUCAUAUGCAAUUUCUUUAGUAGAAAUCAUAGCACUUAUAGUACAUAUAAUUUAUUUAUUUUUAAAAAUAAUAUAUAUAAGUAAUUGUUUUUUAAAAAUGGGGGCCCCAAAAAAUAUGGGGCCCCAAGCGAUGGCUUUAGUGGCCUAGGGGUUAAGACGGCCCUGACUUAAAUACACACACAAGAUGGAGUUCUAACAUAAUAUACUAACGAAAAUAUUGAUAUUAACAUAGAACAGCAGCCCACAUUAUCAAUAUUUAAGUCUUAAAGGAAAGAGUUUAUACCUGGGACAGAUCUGUAAAGAUCUGUCCUUAUCGAAAUACUUUGUGGAUUCGCCGGAGGUCACCUGCCGGAGCUGCUGUUCGCUGGCCAGAGAAGUAUCUGCCAGAGUCGGAGUUUGCUGUUGCUGGUGGCUUCUGCGGCUGCUGGUUGCUCGGAGCCCUCGCCGGUCGGAGGUGCUGCUGGUUGCUGUUUUCUUGCCGGUGGAGCCUGCUGCUGUUGCUGGUCCUGCUCGCCGGUGGCUGCUGACGGGAGAGAGGAGAAAAAAGGCGGAGAGGAGAGGAGGCGGAUGGCGAAACGAUGGAGGCCAGCAGCUGCCGGCUUCGUUGGUGGUUGUCUCGCCGGAAAAAAUGGAGAGAACGAAGGUGAAGGAUAAGAGGGAGAGGCGGCUGAUCUUAGAGAGGAAGAAGAGGAUGAAAAA